UACGUAGGGUGCGAGCGUUGUCCGGAAUUAUUGGGCGUAAAGGGCUCGUAGGCGGUCUGUCACGUCGGGAGUGAAAGCCCCGGGCUUAACCCUGGGAAUGGCGCUUGGGACGGGGUGGCUAGAGAUCGGGAGAGGAGAGUGGAAUUCCCAGUGUAGAGGUGAAAUGCGUAGAUAUCUGAAGGAACAUCAGUGGCGAAAAGCGACUUCCUGGACCAAUACUGACGCUCAUGUGCGAAAGCGUGGGGAG
This 247-nucleotide ribosomal RNA is filed under the name uncultured bacterium. RNAcentral describes it as "partial 16S ribosomal RNA". It matches the Rfam family "Bacterial small subunit ribosomal RNA", at positions 524 to 768 of the family's 1533-position model. The record is from RNAcentral.